AGAAUCAACGCUGGCGGCGUGCCUAACACAUGCAAGUCGAACGAGAAAGUGGGGCAAUCCAUGAGUAAAGUGGCGCACGGGUGAGUAACACGUGACUAACCUACCUUUUAGUGGGGGAUAACCUAGGGAAACCUGGGCUAAUACCGCAUAAGUCCUACGGGGGAAAGCGGGGGAUCGAAAGACCUCGCGCCGGUGGAUGAGCCGAAGCCGGAUUAGCUAGUUGGUAGGGUAAUGGCCUACCAAGGCGACGAUCCGUAGCUGGUCUGAGAGGACGACCAGCCACACUGGGACUGAGACACGGCCCAGACUCCUACGGGAGGCAGC
RNAcentral lists this ribosomal RNA (324 nucleotides) under uncultured prokaryote. RNAcentral's name for it is "bacterial SSU rRNA". It matches the Rfam family "Bacterial small subunit ribosomal RNA", at positions 26 to 352 of the family's 1533-position model. The record is from RNAcentral.